Molecule: transfer RNA, 70 nt
Filed under: Camelus bactrianus (Bactrian camel)
Lineage: Eukaryota; Metazoa; Chordata; Mammalia; Artiodactyla; Camelidae
Also listed under: 2 other names
Rfam family: tRNA
About the family: Transfer RNA (tRNA) molecules are approximately 80 nucleotides in length. Their secondary structure includes four short double-helical elements and three loops (D, anti-codon, and T loops).
Source: Rfam by way of RNAcentral
GAGGGUAUAGCUCAGUGGUAGAGCACGUGCUUAGCAUGCACAAGGUCCUGGGUUCAAUCCCAGUACCUCA